GGGUAUCACCAAUAAUAUUCCCUAGGAAAAUUAAACUUAUCUGGAAAAAAUUCCAAGAGGUUAAUAAUAACCUUGAAAGUCUUGAAACAACUUUGCAAUUUGCAAAUUAUUAUUCUAUUCCAUGGAUCUUAAGAUGGGAUUACGUUCUUCAAACUCAAAAAAGAGAGAAAAGUGAGUUACAAUUCUCUCCGUCAUUCUUGGUCAGAAGAAUUCUUAUUAAAUGGUGGCCAAAAGAAGACUUUUUUGGAGAAGGAAGAACUUUUGACAGAAGAUGAA
This 276-nucleotide long non-coding RNA is filed under the name Salvia miltiorrhiza (redroot sage). RNAcentral describes it as "long non-coding RNA (SMIL_LNC011618)". The record is from RNAcentral. Lineage: Eukaryota; Viridiplantae; Streptophyta; Magnoliopsida; Lamiales; Lamiaceae.